GACAGAGGUGCCGAGCGUUAAUCGGAAUUACUGGGCGUAAAGCGUGCGCAGGCGGUGAUGUAAGACAGAUGUGAAAUCCCCGGGCUCAACCUGGGAACUGCAUUUGUGACUGCAUCGCUGGAGUGCGGCAGAGGGGGAUGGAAUUCCGCGUGUAGCAGUGAAAUGCGUAGAUAUGCGGAGGAACACCGAUGGCGAAGGCAAUCCCCUGGGCCUGCACUGACGCUCAUGCACGAAAGCGUGGGGAGCAAACAGG
Molecule: ribosomal RNA, 253 nt
Filed under: uncultured bacterium
Lineage: Bacteria
Description: partial 16S ribosomal RNA
Rfam family: Bacterial small subunit ribosomal RNA
Source: RNAcentral